Molecule: ribosomal RNA, 440 nt
Filed under: uncultured bacterium
Lineage: Bacteria
Description: partial 16S ribosomal RNA
Rfam family: Bacterial small subunit ribosomal RNA
Source: RNAcentral
CCUACGGGUGGCAGCAGUGGGGAAUAUUGCACAAUGGGGGAAACCCUGAUGCAGCGACGCCGCGUGAGUGAAGAAGUCAUUCGUUAUGUAAAGCUCUAUCAGCAGGGAAGAAAAUGACGGUACCUGAGUAAGAAGCCCCGGUUAAAUACGUGACAGCAGCCGCGGCAAUAAGUAGGGGGCAAGCGUUAUCCGGAUUUACUGGGGGUAAAGGGGGCGUAGGCGGGAGUGCAAGGCUGGAGGGAAAGGCGGGGGCUCAACCCCCGUACUGCCGUUGAAACUGUAUGGCUGGAGUGCAGGAGAGGUAAGUGGAAUGCGUGGUGUAGCGGUGAAAUGCGUAGAUAUUAGGAGGAACACCAGUGGCGAAGGCGGCUUACUGGACUGCAACUGACGUUGAGGCGCGAAAGCGUGGGGAGCAAACAGGAUUAGAUACCCUUGUAGUC